AAUCUGUACAAAAUUGUUCCUUCAAUACAUAUCUACUCAUCGAUCCCUGAACGGUAGCAUUACCGGAGAAUAAAAAAGUUCGAAUUUUUCUCAGUUUGGUCGCUCCAAUUUCAAACAUUUGCUUACUGAAAUGAAAGGGGCAGAUUUUAAAUGGUACGAUGGGUUCUUCCUGUCAAUGUUAGCAACCAGUAUAAUCAUUGUGGCGAUAAAUUGG
This 214-nucleotide unclassified non-coding RNA is filed under the name Hevea brasiliensis (rubber tree). The record is from RNAcentral. Lineage: Eukaryota; Viridiplantae; Streptophyta; Magnoliopsida; Malpighiales; Euphorbiaceae.